AAGGGCACCACAAGAACGCGUGGAGCAUGUGGCUUAAUUUGACUCAACGCGGGAAAUCUUACCGGGUCCGGACACACUGAGGAUUGACAGGCAAUCUUGCGAGUUGCUGAGAGUCGCGCCCUUCGGGGUGCUUCUCCGAGCUCUCGCAUCUAAAUAUGCUAGUCCUUUCAUGAUUAUGUGAUAGGUGGUGCAUGGCCGUUCUUAGUUCGUGGAGUGAUCUGUCUGCUUAAUUGCGUUUCGCACUGGACUUGAUAAUCAAGUGUGCUAUUUUUCUUGUGCCUCGUACACGACUUGCGCGUUAUAAAGUCGGCGUGUGUACCCCGGCCGCUCGUGGCUUGGCUGCCGCUUGCUCGCGUUGCUUCGCUCUCUUCACGGAUUGCUGUUGCUUCGUAGCUUGCGUGCGCCUCGCAACGUUGGCUUGGUGUGUAUCGCGCCUUCGAGUGUUUUGUCAGUACUUGGUGCGUUUUGGAAGGAUAUGUGCACAUUAGGUCCUGAAAGCAACGAACGUGACCGCAUCCUCUUGUUGCCUUUUAUCUAAACCAGCAUUUUAUCGCUUUUGGUGUCCGCUUGUGAGCGUCUUCCGGUUCCGCAAGGUUCUGGUCCUCGCGCGCUCGCGGCUCCAUGUUAUAAGUGGUUUUUUGCGCGUUUUAACAAAAGAGGCUCUAUUCUUCUUACCAGGGAGAAAUAAAACUAGAGGGACCGCUGCGACUUUUUCAAACCAGAGGAAGGUUGCGGCAAUAACAGGUCUGUGAUGCCCUUAGAUGUUCCGGGCUGCACACGUGCUACAAUGAUUAUUGCAGUGAGCAUCUCAUUUCCAAAACGCCGUUAAUCCAUUCGGUCUUGUGCUUUACGGCGCUCGACUGAGUAGAUUCGGCUCAGCCUGCUUCGAAAGUUAGCAGGUAAUCAAUUGGAAGUAAUGAUUUCCCCCAAUUUGAAAAUUUAUUUUCAUCUUACGAGCACACAAUAUACUGCUCCCUUCCAGGUGCGACUCCGAUAUACUGUGUGUCACGCCGUUGUAGGGAUGUUUUUUUUAUAAAAAUUUACAGUAUGUGCUUUUUGUCAAUUCAUGGUGGGGACAGACCAUUGUUAAUUGUUGGUCUCGGUCUUAACUAGGAAUGCCUUGUACGGGUCUUUGGUUCAACAAACCACCCGGAAUACGUCCCUGCCCUUUGUACACACCGCCCGUCGCUCUUACCGAUGGACUUCUCUGUGAGUUUGAGGGACUGGGUACCAUGGCCGUCACCUUCGGGUGCGCGACCAUAAACAUCUAUGGAAACUUAAACGAACAGUGUGGUCUAAAGGAAAGAGAAGUCG
RNAcentral lists this ribosomal RNA (1314 nucleotides) under Hippocrepinella alba. RNAcentral describes it as "SSU rRNA". It matches the Rfam family "Eukaryotic small subunit ribosomal RNA", at positions 1160 to 1791 of the family's 1831-position model. Lineage: Eukaryota; Foraminifera; Astrorhizida; Saccamminidae. The record is from RNAcentral.